This 3313-nucleotide ribosomal RNA is filed under the name Euglena archaeoplastidiata. Its description in RNAcentral is "eukaryotic LSU rRNA". It matches the Rfam family "Eukaryotic large subunit ribosomal RNA", at positions 33 to 2415 of the family's 3401-position model. Lineage: Eukaryota; Euglenozoa; Euglenophyceae; Euglenales; Euglenaceae. The record is from RNAcentral.
UUUAAGCAUAUCACUCAGUGGAGGAAGAGCAAGCAACUGCUAUUGCCUCAGUAAUGGCGAAUGAACCGGCAACACAGGGCCCAGCCCGAAGUGAAUCCCUCCAGCAAGGUCUUCCCAGACCUCAUGCGACAGGCUCUCGUGGGUUUCAGCAGAUGCUGUGGGUUGUGGAGCAGAUGGCAUGCCCUGGGGCCACUGUGCCCAGAAGAGACCCUGGAAUGGCUCACCACAGAGGGAGACUGUCCCCCAUGCUACGUGUGUGCAGGGGUUACCUGGGGCUGUGCUGUCUGUAUCCAGGAGUAGAGUGGCUUGGGACUGCAGUUUGAAGUGGGAGGUAUAUCCAUCCCAAGGCAGAAUACCAACAUGGAACCGAUAGAGCAGAAGUAGAGUGAUUGAAGGGUGCAAAGGACUUUGCAAAGAGGGUUAGAAGUCCCUGAAGCCUUGGCAGGCACGGUGGUGAGUGAUGCUGUGGCUCUCAGUCGGAGGCCUUCUCACCCUGACCGGGGGGAUGGCUCUCUGGCUGCUGCCCCUUGGGCAGGUCAACCGAACCAAGUGACCUUGGACCAACCCUGUGUUGGCUUCUGAGCCCUUCUCCCAAGAGUGGGAUGCAUUCGAGGCAGCUUGAGGUGGCAAUCUGUCUGCCAGGGUCUGAGGCUUCCAGUGAUCACCAAAGGGAAUGUGUGACACAUAGCAGGCAGGGAUGAUGGAUGAUGCUAUGCUUGGGACACUGUGGGCAUGAGUGGUUCCUCCCUGGAGGCAAGUGUCCCACAGAGAGCCCCCCACAGUCAGCAGUGUACUGCAGCAGUCUGGUGUGUCUCCGGACAUGCCAGUGGCCAUGCCUGGCUUGGUUGGCACUGAUGGCUCCCUGGGUCUGCACCCUUCUGCGGGUGGUCCUGGGUGGCUGUUGGUGCCCCAGAACAGUGUGUGUGCCAGUGAGCAGUGGAGCUUGGUGCAACAGUGCCACUCUCUGCCCGUCUCGAAACACGGGAACCAAGGAGUCUAUGGAGCUUGCAGGUUGGCAGGUGGUACCAACCAAACCGUCAGUGCAUGGUGAAGGCAACCCUUACCCAGAUGGUGCAUUGUGUCCUCCGUGAGUUCUCAGAGGGGAGCCCAACACCCUCAGCCACUCCCUCACACAGGCAGAUCUGGCAUGUGGGACACCCUCUGUGCCAGGGUGUUGGGGGAGACUGUGGGCCGUGUUGCCCCCAGAGCCGUUGUGGGCCAGUGUUGAGAUGAACUGCAUGGGUCACCAGUCCUGCAGUCCAGUGGACAGGGUUCUGAGUGCUUGCAAGGUCCAUGGGACCCGAAAGGUGGUGAACUAUACCAUUCUAUGUUGAAGCCGUGGGAAACUGCGGUGGAGGACAGUAGCUGUUCUGACGUGCAAAUUGUGUAGCCUGAGUGUGGCAUAGGGGUGAAAGGCCAAUCGAGCCACCUAGUAGCUGGUUUCCUUCGAAGUUUCCCUCAGGAUAGCUGGGCUCAAGUGCAACCAUCCCAAGUGAUUAUGUCCGGUAAAGCAACGCAUCAGAGGCAAUCUCCGGGGAGACCUCCCUCCUCAACCUAUUCUCGAACUGUGAAUGGGCAUGAAUCCAGGCAUGCUUCUUCACUGGUGCUGGAGUCUGUCUCUGACAGUCCUCCCGGCUUCUGAGCGUGUUGGCUGUGGCAGUCCUUGUGGACAGAGACUCUCCCCCUCCCGUGCAGCUCUGUGUGGCCAGGAGGGACUCGGAGACAGAUGCAAGGGUGCUGUAUCGAUGAACAACUGUGCCUAUGUGGACCACCAUUGGUAAGCAGUGCUGGUGAUGCGGGGUGCUCCGAGAGUGGACUUACAGAUCCAGAGUGCUGGCUCAUACCCAGAUCCCACAAAGGAUGUCGUUUGCUCAUGAUAGCAGGACGGUGGCCAUGAAGGUUGGAAUCCGCCAAGGAAUGUGUAACAACUCACCUGCCGAAGCGUACAGCUCCCAAAAUGGAUGGAGCCCAAGUCAGUGAAGCUGAGAUGGCCUUACAGUCCACCACUGCUGUGGCAGCCUGGCAGAGCAUCAGUGUGUAGAAAGGACAUGGGAGACUGCCGUGCAGGCUGGGGCUGACCCUGGCUGAAGUGUCUUCCGGAGCAGAUCUUGGUUGUAGUAGCAAGUACUCCAUCGGGUGAAGAGUGGAACAACCCCACUGUGUGCGGUUGAGGACUGGAGUGGAGCAGGUUUCCGCACCAAACAGCCGUUGAAUGCGGGUCAGCCGGCCGUGAGCCAAGUGGCAAGUUCACCAGACAACCAAAGCUGUCUUGUCCCCUGGGACCAAGGGGGAACCAUCAUCACACCAUCAUGAGUCUCUGACCGUGUGGAUUGACUGUGUACCCUGGACCCAAGGGUCUCCUGGCAGGAGUGGCAAACAGGCAAGCAUGUGCAACAUUCUGCUGUGAUAGGCUUGGGGUAAUCCGGGUGGCAACACCCACACUGACUUUGACAAGCAGGCAUCGGGGCAGUGCACCCCCUGGGGAGUUAUCGUUUCCUCCUGAUGUCCAGGCUAUGCGGGCUAUCGAUUGGCAUGACAGAUGGUGGUGUAGAGCCCUCCACCCAGCAAGGCAGUGUGACCUCCACACUGAUGGUCUCUGAAGGACACAGUUGCUCUGGCUCCCCCCUCUCCUCUCUGAGGGAGGAGGGCAUGUCUCAGUCACUCCGACUCGGUGGUCACUGGCUCCAAUGAACAGCCUGUGGGGCACUGUGCCCCAGGUCCCAGAUCCCCGUACCGGAUCACCGCAGCCGGUCUCCUCGACUGUAUGUCGCUUGUCCACGGAUGAAAUGCAGCUAAGGGAAGUCGGCAAACUGGCCGUGUACCUUCGGAAGAUGCGGUGGCUCCAGAGGCCAAGUCAUUGGACCCACUGUUGGCUGGGCAGUGUGGGAUGUUGCUCCCAGUGUGGGCCUCCCGCAGACUCGUACUGGACUGCUGAUGCCUCACACACCCUGACCUGCUGUUGGGGGUAUCAUACUUGCCAUCCCAAUGUCUAUCAAGUGGCUCGCGUGGAACUGUUGCUGUGCAGGGGAAUCUGACUGUUUAAUUGAAACACAGCUUUGUGAUGGACCCAGCUGGCUGGUGCCAUGAAGUGACUUCUGCCCAGUGCUCUGAUUGUCAAUGCGAAGAGAUUCAGCCAAGCGCGGGUAAACGGCGGGAGUAACUAUGACUCUCUUAAGGUAGCCAAAUGCCUCGUCAACCAAUUAUUGACGCGCAUGAAUGGAUCAACGAGAUUCCUGCUGUCCCUAGUUGCCGUCUGGUGAACCAACAGCCAAGGGAACGGGCUUGGAUGUGUCAGCGGGGAAAGAAGAGCCUG